CCAUUUUAUAAGCAAUGAUUUUUAAAAAUGGUUUUAGUCACCAAUAAUAACCCUGAUAUAAUGGAGGUGUUUUAUUUUUUUUUAAGCACACUUCAGGUUCAUGUUUAAGGCUUUAUUCAUCAGAAGUGCAAUUUUCUGCAGUAUUUACUGCUAGAUUUAGCUGACAUGCAAUAGGAAACCACCACAGGCUGAUAACAUCCCUCAUGUGUCCUGUCUUCUGUAUGCAAUACCCUAAGAGAUUGCAACAUACUUUUUUGAGAAAUUGGUAAAAAUGUUGCAUCAGUACUGAUUUCAGUUUGCACAGCUGGGGACGAACAUGCCAUAAGACAAGCAGGCUCACCUUAAAUCAGCGGUGCUCUGUCUGAUGUUUCAGACUCAGAUACAUUAUGAACAUCUGCACCAUCAGCAGACGUGAGGACAGUAUGUGAGACACCUGUAUACUGCACAUGUGUCAGUGAUGCCGAACGCAUUAGUUCUCAUGUGCAACUCGUCGUCUUCAGUCUGCUUUUGUGUCCCGUGGAGGAAAUCAAGUCAAAUGCGGUUGAAACCACAAGAAGAAAGCAGCCAUUACUGUAAACGCUAUCAGAAGAGAACCCACUUCACCUCUCCUCGAGCAGAUACGAUGAACCCUGUUCUCUAGGCCUCGGUUAGGAAAGCAGGCUCUGCUUUUAGAGCCGUCAGAGCCACACACCCAGCGUGGGCGACGUUUGCUGUGUGAAGGGAAGCUCAGGCACAAACCCUGUAAUCUGGGGUCAUCACUCCACAAGCAGAGUGGGAUUUGCAUCAAGCGCUCAUUCAGAACUACAGCAUGAUGAGACAGUUUCCCAGACGGACCGUAAGAAUGACCAAAGGACUCCAAGAAAACCCCAUUCCCUGCGUGUCAUGUUGGCUUUGGGAAGGAGUUUUACAGUGACAUCACAGACCACCGGUAAUCCCCCAGUGAGCCAUUCUUCCUUAUUCUCCAUCUUUCUUGUGUGAAUGCGUAACAGAACCUCUCGUAUACGUAUGAACUGUACAGGGCAUUUCCUGCGAUUGAAAGACCAAGCACCAUGUCAAGUCAAAUUUAUCUGUAAAGUGCUUCAUAGUAUGGUCUCUGAGCACCUUUACAGAAAGUUCUGUUUAUUCUGUAACAGUUAUGUUUUUAUAGUGUAAUUUUCAUGGACAUUUAGUUUGUUUCUCAUCACUUUCCUGUUUCCUCCGCUCUGGUUUCCCGCACUCAUCUGUCUCCAUGCAGCUGUUUGUCCUUAUGACUCAUCACUGUGUGUAUUUAAGUUCCUCACUUCCUCUCUUUCAUUGUCUGGUAUUGUUUGUGUUUAGCUUUUGGAUCUACCUGUGUUUGCUUUGUUUAAUAAAGAGAAAACAAAGAGUGGCA
Molecule: long non-coding RNA, 1372 nt
Organism: Cyprinus carpio (common carp)
Lineage: Eukaryota; Metazoa; Chordata; Actinopteri; Cypriniformes; Cyprinidae
Source: Ensembl